RNAcentral lists this unclassified non-coding RNA (229 nucleotides) under Hevea brasiliensis (rubber tree). Lineage: Eukaryota; Viridiplantae; Streptophyta; Magnoliopsida; Malpighiales; Euphorbiaceae. The record is from RNAcentral.
GUGGGAAAGGAAGGGGAGAGGGGGGUUAAAGUGAAUUAGAACCAUAUCGUCGUUAAUAGCCAAUAUUCAAGUCAGAUAUAUGUGACAAUAAGAUUAAAGAAGAUCAUUAUUUGAUCCCUGCUACAGACAUAUUGGCCAGUAAAUCUAACAUCUGUUUCAGCAUUGUCUAGAUGAUUAGUGCUCAUUAACUGGUAAAUUUCAAAAUCACAGUCUUCACAUGUAUACACAG